UACGUAGGGAGCAAGCGUUGUCCGGAAUCAUUGGGCGUAAAGCGCGCGUAGGCGGCCCGAUAAGUCCGCUGUAAAAGUCAACGGCUCAACUGUUGAAAGCCGGUGGAUACUGUCGGGCUAGAGUACGGAAGAGGCAAGUGGAAUUCCUGGUGUAGCGGUGGAAUGCGCAGAUAUCAGGAGGAACACCCAUAGCGAAGGCAGCUCGCUGGGACGUUACUGACGCUAAGGCGCGAAAGCGUGGGGAGCGAACAGG
RNAcentral lists this ribosomal RNA (253 nucleotides) under uncultured bacterium. Its description in RNAcentral is "partial 16S ribosomal RNA". It matches the Rfam family "Bacterial small subunit ribosomal RNA", at positions 524 to 776 of the family's 1533-position model. The record is from RNAcentral.